UACGUAGGGUGCAAGCGUUACUCGGAAUUACUGGGCGUAAAGCGUGCGCAGGCGGUUAUGUAAGACAGGUGUGAAAUCCCCGGGCUUAACCUGGGAACUGCAUUUGUGACUGCAUAGCUAGAGUACGGUAGAGGGGGAUGGAAUUCCGCGUGUAGCAGUGAAAUGCGUAGAUAUGCGGAGGAACACCGAUGGCGAAGGCAAUCCCCUGGGCCUGCACUGACGCUCAUGCACGAAAGCGUGGGGAGCAAACAGG
RNAcentral lists this ribosomal RNA (253 nucleotides) under uncultured bacterium. RNAcentral's name for it is "partial 16S ribosomal RNA". It matches the Rfam family "Bacterial small subunit ribosomal RNA", at positions 524 to 776 of the family's 1533-position model. The record is from RNAcentral.